UUCCAGCUACUGUGGAGGUCACCUGCAUCCGGUUACUGUGGAGGUCGCAAUAUGGCGCUCCACAGUGGCUGCAGCCAGACCUUUCUCGUGAAAGCAGGAGAGGAAUACACUUUGAAAUUGUAAUCAGGACAAUUGUGGAGAAGAUGGGCCCACAGAGGAAGUCACCCCAUUGCAGGCCAGAAAAAAAUGGGGUAACUUAAAGAAAAAAUACAAAGAUUGAAGUAUCCAGGGUCAGGAGAGGGAGUCAGCCACAGAGGCCUUCCAUUAGGCCUCCUGUCCUAAUUUUCUCUAUCCCUGAGGACACUCAGGACCAAGCACAGCAGUGGGUGACCUAAAUGAAAGGGAAGAGGACACUGCUGAUGGGGAACGGAGUGAGCCACCCACAACAGGGAGAAAGAGGAGAAGGGAUGAGGAUGAUAAGCUGCUUGACCUCAUUAGAGAGAAUAUGAUGCAUCAAAGAGGCUGAGGAGAGGAGAGAGCAGGGAA
Long non-coding RNA from Oreochromis aureus, 486 nucleotides. RefSeq lists it as uncharacterized. NCBI's taxonomy places the organism in Eukaryota, Metazoa, Chordata, Actinopteri, Cichliformes, Cichlidae. The transcript is spliced from 3 exons. The record is from RefSeq and is a predicted model, not a curated record.